AAAAACGUAGGAAGUUGCUUAAAGAAGGAGGGUGGGACGCAAAUGUCGUCGAUGACGAAAUGGACAAAUGGGUAUGUAAGUAAGUACUCCGCAUUGUCUUCUUCUUGACCAUGACUCAGGUUUUUUUUUUUUUUGUGUGUGUGUCUAAGUAUUUAAUCACCCUUCAGAUUACACUAUCAAUUAUGUAUACCGUAAAUAGCAUAAUCACCUUGCAAAUUGUUUAUUGGUGCGGUAACCAUACUUAACUGGUAUGUCUCAUUUAAUUCACACCAAUUAGUUAUAUGGUACCAUUCAUACCUUGUUUCCAGCUGUACC
This 315-nucleotide long non-coding RNA is filed under the name Capsella rubella. Its description in RNAcentral is "long non-coding RNA (CRUB_LNC004650)". The record is from RNAcentral. Lineage: Eukaryota; Viridiplantae; Streptophyta; Magnoliopsida; Brassicales; Brassicaceae.